UCAAAUCAAAUUUGUAUGGACUUGGAACGUUUGCCACUAAGGGCGCUGUUCCAACUGCAUACAAAUAUAAGUUA
RNAcentral lists this microRNA precursor (74 nucleotides) under Bombyx mori (domestic silkworm). RNAcentral's name for it is "mir-2807 microRNA precursor family". It matches the Rfam family "mir-2807 microRNA precursor family". Lineage: Eukaryota; Metazoa; Arthropoda; Insecta; Lepidoptera; Bombycidae. The record is from Rfam by way of RNAcentral.